CCUCUCGGAGAACUCCAUGGUGCGGGGAAGGCGGCGGCGGGGGCUGAGGAGGCGGCGGCAGCGGCGGCAGCGGCAGCGGCGGCAGCGGCAGCGGCGGCGCGGGCUCGUGUCACCGCGGCGGAGCCGCCGGGACCAAGGGACACAGAGUAGGACAACUGCCGAGGAAGGGGGACAUUGAGGCAGCUUGCAGAAACACACAUGGAGAAACAGAACCAAAGAGCAGGGUAACCAGCAAACCAGGCAGUGGAGGCAGGGAUGGGUACCCAUCCCGAGAUCUUGGGUGAUACCAAAGGCGGCACAUCCGGAAGGCUGGUUAUACCUAGCGUGGAGGGGAGAGGGAGAACUGUUUCUUCCGUUCAAUAAAGCAAACCCUUCAACAAGA
This 382-nucleotide long non-coding RNA is filed under the name Homo sapiens (human). RNAcentral's name for it is "HSALNT0356499". Lineage: Eukaryota; Metazoa; Chordata; Mammalia; Primates; Hominidae. The record is from RNAcentral.